GACGAACGCUGGCGGCGUGCCUAAUACAUGCAAGUAGAACGCUGAAGGAGGAGCUUGCUUCUCUGGAUGAGUUGCGAACGGGUGAGUAACGCGUAGGUAACCUGCCUGGUAGCGGGGGAUAACUAUUGGAAACGAUAGCUAAUACCGCAUAAGAGUAGAUGUUGCAUGACAUUUGCUUAAAAGUUGCAAUUGCAUCACUACCAGAUGGACCUGCGUUGUAUUAGCUAGUUGGUGAGGUAACGGCUCACCAAGGCAACGAUACAUAGCCGACCUGAGAGGGUGAUCGGCCACACUGGGACGGAGACACGGCCCAGACUCCUACGGGAGGCAGCAGUAGGGAAUCUUCGGCAAUGGACGGAAGUCUGACCGAGCAACGCCGCGUGAGUGAAGAAGGGUUUCGGAUCGUAAAGCUCUGUUGUAAGAGAAGAACGAGUGUGAGAGUGGAAAGUUCACACUGUGACGGUAUCUUACCAGAAAGGGACGGCUAACUACGUG
RNAcentral lists this ribosomal RNA (495 nucleotides) under uncultured bacterium. RNAcentral describes it as "partial 16S ribosomal RNA". It matches the Rfam family "Bacterial small subunit ribosomal RNA", at positions 28 to 507 of the family's 1533-position model. The record is from RNAcentral.